UACGUAGGGGGGCAAGCGUUUGUCCGGAAUUAUUGGGCGUAAAGAGCGUGUAGGCGGUCCGGUAAGUCAGCUGUGAAAGUCAAGGGCUCAACCCUUGAAUGCCGGUUGAUACUGUCGGGCUAGAGUCCGGAAGAGGCGAGUGGAAUUCCCGGUGUAGCGGUGAAAUGCGCAGAUAUCGGGAGGAACACCAAUGGCGAAGGCAGCUCGCUGGGACGGUACUGACGCUGAGACGCGAAAGCGUGGGGAGCAAACAGG
RNAcentral lists this ribosomal RNA (255 nucleotides) under uncultured bacterium. Its description in RNAcentral is "partial 16S ribosomal RNA". It matches the Rfam family "Bacterial small subunit ribosomal RNA", at positions 524 to 776 of the family's 1533-position model. The record is from RNAcentral.